CAGUCGCCGCGGGAAUACAGAGGGUGCGAGCGUUAAUCGGAUUUACUGGGCGUAAAGCGUGCGUAGGCGGCUUUUUAAGUCGGAUGUGAAAUCCCUGAGCUUAACUUAGGAAUUGCAUUCGAUACUGGGAAGCUAGAGUAUGGGAGAGGAUGGUAGAAUUCCAGGUGUAGCGGUGAAAUGCGUAGAGAUCUGGAGGAAUACCGAUGGCGAAGGCAGCCAUCUGGCCUAAUACUGACGCUGAGGUACGAAAGCAUGGGGAGCAAACAGGAUUAGAGACCCCUGUAGUCCCUGUCUCUUAUAC
RNAcentral lists this ribosomal RNA (301 nucleotides) under uncultured bacterium. RNAcentral's name for it is "partial 16S ribosomal RNA". It matches the Rfam family "Bacterial small subunit ribosomal RNA", at positions 509 to 807 of the family's 1533-position model. The record is from RNAcentral.